Molecule: ribosomal RNA, 450 nt
Filed under: uncultured bacterium
Lineage: Bacteria
Description: bacterial SSU rRNA
Rfam family: Bacterial small subunit ribosomal RNA
Source: RNAcentral
GUAGGGAAUAUUGCGCAAUGGACGAAAGUCUGACGCAGCAACGCCGCGUGGAUGAUGAAGCAUUUCGGUGUGUAAAAUCCUGUCGGUGGGGAAGAAAAGUAUGAUGAGUAACUGCUUCAUACCUGACGGUACCCACAGAGGAAGUCCCGGCUAACUCCGUGCCAGCAGCCGCGGUAAUACGGGGGGGACGAGCGUUGUUCGGAUUUACUGGGCGUAAAGGGCGCGUAGGCGGGUCUUCAAGUCGGAUGUGAAAACUACCAGCUUAACUGGUAGCCUGCAUUUGAUACUGUUGAUCUUGAGUACGGGAGAGGAGAGUGGAAUUCCAGGUGUAGCGGUGAAAUGCGUAGAUAUCUGGAAGAACACCAGUAGCGAAGGCGGCUCUCUGGACCGAUACUGACGCUCAAGCGCGAAGGCUUGGGGAGCAAACAGGAUUAGAUACCCUUGUAGUCC